CGACAAUAGAGUAGCAGGGUGGUGUCUCCUGCGCCUGCUUUCGCAGGUUCUUCCCAGCCACGG
RNAcentral lists this non-coding RNA (63 nucleotides) under unclassified sequences. The record is from RNAcentral.